CCUACGGGAGGCAGCAGUAGGGAAUAUUGGGCAAUGGAGGCAACUCUGACCCAGCCAUGCCGCGUGCAGGAUGAAGGCGUUAUGCGUUGUAAACUGCUUUUAUAUAGGAAGAAAGAGUUCUUGCGAGAACAGUUGACGGUACUAUAUGAAUAAGCACCGGCUAACUCCGUGCCAGCAGCCGCGGUAAUACGGAGGGUGCAAGCGUUGUCCGGAUUUAUUGGGUUUAAAGGGUGCGUAGGCGGUUUAUUAAGUCAGUGGUGAAAGACGGUCGCUCAACGAUUGCAGUGCCAUUGAUACUGGUAGACUUGAGUGAGAUUGAGGUAGCUGGAAUGGAUAGUGUAGCGGUGAAAUGCAUAGAUAUUAUCCAGAACACCAAUUGCGUAGGCAAGUUACUAAGUCUCAACUGACGCUGAGGCACGAAAGUGUGGGUAUCAAACAGGAUUAGAUACCCUGGUAGUCCACACUGUAAACGAUGAUAACUAACUGUUGGCUUUCGGGUCAGUGGUACAGAGAAAUCGUUAAGUUAUCCACCUGGGGAGUACGCCGGCAACGGUGAAACUUAAAUGAAAUUGACCGGNUGAGAGNGCGAGCGACGACGAGGGAGAGG
Molecule: ribosomal RNA, 607 nt
Filed under: uncultured bacterium
Lineage: Bacteria
Description: bacterial SSU rRNA
Rfam family: Bacterial small subunit ribosomal RNA
Source: RNAcentral